This 2111-nucleotide ribosomal RNA is filed under the name Triticum aestivum (bread wheat). Its description in RNAcentral is "partial small subunit ribosomal RNA". Lineage: Eukaryota; Viridiplantae; Streptophyta; Magnoliopsida; Poales; Poaceae. The record is from RNAcentral.
GCGCGCUGGUGCUGGGGUUAGGCUGAGGUGGAAGAAGGCAGCCGCGGUGGGCUACUGGCGGCCGCGGUACUUUUUACUUGGCGUGCGUCGCUGGUUUUGUUUGGGUGCUGGGGAGGGGAGGCGAGUGAGGGAAUAGGAGAGGUGGAGGAAGGAAGUCGGCCCCGGCGCGGGUGGGGUACGACGUGCUGCGGGGAGGAGUUCGGGUAGUUACUCGUCGAGGGCCCUUGAAGAGGGGGUCGUUGCGCGUCGUGGGGCCGCGGGGAGGGGUUCGCGGGAGUGGAGGGCGGAGCCCCCAGUGGCCUAGGGCUGCCCUAGAUCAGCUCCGGACGAGUGGUGUCUGCCGCCGCAGCGAGUCGGUGGUGGGUUGGGGCCGCUGGAGGGCGGCGGAAGAUGCGCGUGUCAGUGAGGGGGCGGUACUGGGUCCGUUCGCGGCGGAGGGUGGUGCAGGAGGUGAGGAGGAUGGAGGUCGAGUGGUGGAAGGGGGUUUAAGAGAGGAGGGGGUGCUGGAGGGGAGAGGAGGGGGGUACAGCGGCGGGGCGUCGGAAGAAGGCGAGGCGCGUGGCGGCGGAAGGGGGCACGGCGGCGCGGCGUUGGAAGGGGGCGAGGCGGCGCGGUGACGGAAGGGGGCGAGGCGACGGGGUGGACGAAGGAGGUACGACGGCGCCGCGGUAGCGGACCUACGCGGAGGCAGCGCUUGGAACGGCCACACUGCGACCUGGUCCGCUGCUCCCGCGAUCUACCAAGCAUGUCGCUGCGCCCCGCGUGUAGCACGAGAAGACGUCAGCUCGCACACACCACAACGUCAAGCCUCGCACGUUAGGGCGUCGAGCCGGGAGGGAAGAGAGAGAGAGAGUAGAGAAAGGAAAGACGAGAGGGAGAGGGUCGAACUACACCUGAGGUUGUCCGCUGCUGCUCUGGGGGAAGGAGCACUACGUGAGGCAAAGGGGUCGGCUGGGCCGGGGCUCGAGAGUGGAGGAGAGACGUCACGUCUGGCCGCGUGCGCGUCAAGCGGGGGACUGCCGCACGUCAUGCCUUCAACGCAACGACGUCGUGCGACCGCACGCACGUUGGCACUUCUAUUUUUAGUUUCACCUUAUACUUCAGGCGACACCGAACUUACGUCAGACAACACCUACGGAAAAAUGAGUCUUAACUAAUACACAGAUAAAAGAAAGCUACGCGACGUCACGCGGAGCGGCACGUCAAGCCACCACAAAAAGUCAAGUAAAAAAAACAACGUAGAUGACGUCGCUUUUUUACAAACCAUUUUCUUGUCAAAUCUCGAAAAGGUCUGAAAAAAACAGACGAAAACGACAAGUUAAGGCAGGUUGCCCUCCACAUGCGUGUAUAUAAAGUACGGGUCAUAACGGAAUACACUAAAUGAAUCACAAAUUAGUAUAGAAAAAUCUCUAUAUUCGAUUAGUUGUCGAUUUAUAUUAGUAAUCCCGGUUAAUGGAUUACCCUCUUACUAACGAAGUUAUCCGUAACCAUCAGACGAUGAGACGAAAGUUCUCCUUUACGUCUUCUCUGAAGUGUUCAAUUCACCUUCACUACCUGUUGGAGACCGAACUGUUGGAACACGCGGAGGAACGAAUGACACUACUUCCGGUUAGUUCUUGCGUACAGUUUGUGAUUAUACGUCUCAGCCGGUUCCCUUAUAACUCAGCAUUCUUCAUGAUGUUCACCCUUGUACAAAUCAAAAAGAUACUAAUGGAAAGUCUACACGAUGGUAUGUACCCUGUGGGAUUCUACGUACACAAUAUCUUGUACCUUGAGGGAUUCCACACCUCGAUCUUCUCCACCACAACGGUUUCCGUCACGGUCGAUUACGUGCCUACCGAUUACUUCGGCUAGUGGCGAUCGUCGAUCGUACAUACGUAGUAUAAUGGUGUCUACAGCUCCGUGUCGAACGACUGCCUUGGUUCGUUCAGUUGGUAACGUUAGACUUACGUUUAUAAUAGCUUGUACCCUAAUAUACAUAUCAAAACAUCGUUAUGUGUACGCGAAACCCUACAUUCAAAUUCGUUACUUGUACAUGAAACCCUACUUUACCUAUCCACUUACUUCUUUAUACUUUUUUUUUGCAUACAGGAGUUCACUUUACUAAUAGA